Long non-coding RNA from Spodoptera frugiperda (fall armyworm), 329 nucleotides. RefSeq lists it as uncharacterized. The record is from RefSeq and is a predicted model, not a curated record. NCBI's taxonomy places the organism in Eukaryota, Metazoa, Arthropoda, Insecta, Lepidoptera, Noctuidae. The transcript is spliced from 2 exons.
AUAUAUAUUUUAUAAGUGAAUUAUAAUAUAUAAAAUUAGUGAAGAUGGAUUGUGCUUUCUGCAACCGUACGAUGGAGGGCUGCGCGUCCAUAAAGUGCAGUCUUUGUGCGUCGCAGUACCACUUGGAGUGCGUGAGCAGUGAGCACCUGGUGCCGAGCACGAACACCUGGCGGUGCUGCCGCUGCGAGUCUCUCAACUCCGCCGCCACACAGCCCAAGAUCGACACUGCCGUCCGCGUGUAGAAUGUAACUUUGUUGUAACUGGUAAAUUGAUUGUGAACUUCCCACCAAGGCAUAUUUGGAAAUAAAUGUAUUUUGCUUUACAGUGAA